AACAUCAGCAUAAUAGGAUAUUUUAUGUUAUAGGAAUUGGUAAACAUCACGAGUCAUGGCUUGUUGUUUGGUUUUGUUUUUCCAAACAGUCUGUUUCCCCUUAGACCACGUUACCAGUUUCAUUUUGUUCCCUAGAGGCAAGUCUUCCAGAGCAUCUGCAGUUGCAGGCAGCAAGGCUGCCCUCCUUCCUUAGAGGGCAUCAUGUCCCAGAGGGCUUCCUUUGUCUCCCUCCUGCAUUGUUUUCCUUUUGCUGGGUCAAGUGUCUAUUUCUUUUUUAUUUAUUCCAUUUGAGACGAAAAGCUAGACAAAACAAGAUAAAAGGGGCCAGCCAGAUGUCCGAGGCUGGAAACUCCCCUUUCAAACUUUUGGCUUUUGUAACCUUGCUUGCUGCCUGCCUCCACCAAUGGCCCAGAGAGCACCACUGUGGCUGCUCUAUUGAGUUAGUAGCUCCCAGUGCUGCCUUUGACACCCACACCUGCACUGAUGGCAUACUCCAUUCAAGUUGGUGCUUACACGAGGCUACCUUGGAAUUCAGGACUGGAAGAAAAAAUAGCUAACCUGAAAGUAUCAUCAAGAGGACCAAGGGAUGAAUGCCUGUGAAGCUCUUAGAACAUUGCCUGUGUCUGCUUGGUGUCUGAUUGAUGCCAGCUGGCACAUCAUCCAUUCUGUGGAAAUUCCACAGUUGAUUCAUUUCCCACAGAAUUUUCUGUGCUGUGACCCCAGACUCCUUCUGUUUAGCAAGCCUGGCUGCCAGAGACUGUGAAUGAGCCUGCAGUGCAGCAAGUUGGAGACAGUUGAAUUUUCACUCCUGGAUUCCUUCUCACCCUCUAGGACACCCUUGGUACCCCUCUAAGUGUCCUCCAGGUGUCCAGGUGUCCUCCAUGUAUCUACAUGGCUUUGCACUUACCAUAUUUCUAAGAUAGAUCCCUGAGGUGGUGUGGCUGUUGAUGGCUCUCAGGUUCUGCUUGGCUGGGGAUGCAUAGGCAACCUGAUGCACUGGAAAGAGCUGUGGCAGAAAACCCAGAGCCCAUAACUGCCCAGGCCCUGCCAUCAGGAGCCAUGUGACCUCUGAGAACCUCACCUAAAUAAUCCACAUUUGAAUCAGCUCAAUGCUACAGUCCCUUGCAGCUCAAAAGUCUCCAGUUCUAAGGGGUUUGACUUCUUUAUUUUGGCACAGAAGGGAUAGAUAGAAAUAAAAAUAGACAAUAGAUGUCAGCAUCAAAACAGAUGCCCUGUGUCAUCAGAGACUGCAUUAUAGUAAUAUUUUCCUACUAAUGGUUUAGACAAAAGCCUGGAGUGUGUUUUGAGGGUAGGGAGAGAAAGGGGACUGAUAGGUAGGAUGGUGAGAUUGGCUAACAAGAUUAGGUCUUCUAGAAUGCGUGCAGCCCUUGAAGGACUCCAGGGCCCCAAGUAUAAUAAAAACUUCGGAUGUAUGAAUUCCUCCAAGGUUGCUCUGGAUGAGGGCAUAGGAGUACAGACUUGCCAAUAAUAUAGAAAUUGGGAAUUACUGGAGCUUAGAAUGGCUUAAAGUUCUUUUUGUCCAACAUCACAUGUUUAAAGGGCACAAAAAACAGAAAUUAAAGGUUUUUCCAGGAGUGAUAGCUCAUAGUUGUAAAAAUUGCAAUCAGAGACCAGUUGCCCAGACUUUGAUGCCAGGACCAGCUCUGACCUGCACACUAGGGGAUGAGAAUCAGAAUAUCUUCAAAAUUGGAUAUUCCAUGAUUCUCCAAAUAGAAGGGGGGUUGUUUGUUUGUUUUCUGGUUUUUAUAUCAGUAAUGUAAAAUAUCUUAACAAAACUCUAGAGUUCUGGCUCAUGACUUCAAUUGCACAUUGAAAAUCACCUAUGGAACUUUAAAAGCUCAUGACUCUUGGCAACAUUAUAUUCAGAUAUAGUUGGAUAAGGAGGUACAGCUUGGGCACCAUGGUUUUUGAAACACCUCCAGAUGGUCCUAGGUGCAGCUCACAUUGAGGAACUCCCUGCAUAGUGGGUCCUGUGGGCCUGCAGCAUUGCCUAGACUGGGAGCUUGUCAACCAUGCAGAACCUCACACCCUCCCCAGACCUGGUGAGUCAGCACCUGUCUUUCAACAAAGUGAUUAGUUUACAACAUGUAGUUUAAUAAACACAGCUGUAGUCUACAGCAAUCCUGGUGCUUCUCCAGAAAUAGGCAGUGAUGUGGUGACAUUCAAAUCAGAUUCCACAAGUAGAUUUCAGAAUUCCAGGGAGCAGCAACAAUACAGCUAAGGCUCCUCCUUUCUAAACUGUGUGAUGUGGAACCAGCUUCCUUUUUUCCAUAGGGACAGUGAUGGCCCUGAGAUUGGGGCAGUGACAUAUGUAGGUGAUCAGGGCAAGGUCUGGGACAGGUACAAGCUCUGGGAUGUACCCAGCAACCCCCUCCUUUCCCUUAGCCCUUCUUCUGCUUUUGGUUUAGGAUGCAUUUUUGUUAAUUUUUAAACUAUCAUAUUUACUAAAUACCUAUUUCUAAAUAUGCUGCUCAUGUGACUUACCUCUCAAAUCAUUAUCCAGAUAUGAUGAUCCAGUAAAUGACUAUAGCAACAUUGCUUCAUUCUAGUGUGUUUGGAGAGGGACAUAGGUGAAGAUGACAGGGAAAGGAGGGGUCAAGAAUGGCUCUAAGUUUGUGUUUUGUUGUGAUUUUGUUGGUUUAAAAGGCAACUGCUAAUGGAGAAGAGGGUUCUGUGCUGUCAACAAGUCUGGGUACAGAUGUGGAAGGAAGAUGAGGUGCCUCAUUGGGUAGGGCUAGGCCUUGGAUCUCCUUCCAGUGGCUCUGAGGGGGCAAAAGUAAUGACAAAGACUGGGAAGCUGGUGGUUGUCAGGCAGGAAGUGGGUAUGGGGGAUGGCUGAAAUAAAGGGUAAUAAGAGUAUACUUAUUGUGAUGAGCACUGAGUAAUGUAUAGAAUUGUUGAAUCACUAUAUUGUACACCUGAAACUAAUAUAAUACUGUAUGUAAUUAUACUUCAAUAAAAGCAAAUUA
Felis catus (domestic cat) is the source of this 2990-nucleotide long non-coding RNA. RefSeq lists it as uncharacterized. Lineage: Eukaryota; Metazoa; Chordata; Mammalia; Carnivora; Felidae. The transcript has 3 exons. The record is from RefSeq and is a predicted model, not a curated record.